Molecule: transfer RNA, 71 nt
Filed under: Cavia porcellus (domestic guinea pig)
Lineage: Eukaryota; Metazoa; Chordata; Mammalia; Rodentia; Caviidae
Rfam family: tRNA
About the family: Transfer RNA (tRNA) molecules are approximately 80 nucleotides in length. Their secondary structure includes four short double-helical elements and three loops (D, anti-codon, and T loops).
Source: Rfam by way of RNAcentral
AGGGAUAGAGCUCAGCGGUACAGCGCCUGCCUAACAAGCACAAGUCCUGAGUUCGAUCCUUGGUAAUCCCA